UGAGCUCAGUCGGUCAACCUCCCCGCUUGUUUUUUGUCGUCCUCUAUUCUUUCUUUUGCUGGCGUAUGUGAGGCAGCAUAGUGAGGGUAUUCAGCCAGCUCUUUUUCGGUGCCUGUGUGUGUUAGAUGGGGUAAUUCUGGCAGAGUGGGUGUGGGCGCUGGUCUGGCGGGUGGGGGUGUGGAGGGGGGGGGGGAGGGUGCUGGACGAGGCACAGUGAAAGAAACCAGCCUGGCACUGUUUGGACCAGCGCCAGAGGCUCCAUGGGAGUCGCACUCACUGCAGAGUCAUUUGGCAACUUCACUACUUUUUAUCGCCGUGGCCAGAAACAAAAGGACAACAGGGGGGGGGAGAGUGAGCAAGGGGAUAGAGUCAAUACAAACUCACAGAAGGAUGAAGACUUCUCGUGUGCUCGCAUCGGCUCAAGUCACCCCGACGGACGGAGAGCAUUUAGCCAGUACGACUGCUGACACAGAUAUACUUUGAUUGUGGCUGACGGUGCCCGUGAACAUGACCUGGCAGUGCCAAACAACCUGCUGCUAAAAGACAGAACUGUCUCACGACAGGAGGGCAGGAAGAGACUGCCUGAGGGCAGCCAGGCCUCUGUGACAUUUCAGUCCUUUAUGCUCCUGCAAUCUGUUAGUGCUCAGAAAAAAAAAGAGGGGGAAAAAAAAAACAUUUUUGUUGAAUAUCAAAAAGUGCCCUUAUGCAUCAAGAAGGGCAUUAUCAACUCAAGUGUGAUGGUGUUUCUUUUUACUUUCCUUCAUCCUUCAAACACUUCAUCCAUGGAGUACCGGCAUGGAAACAACUGCUUCUUUUCAGGGCUUUUCUAUGCUGUGUGGCUUCAUAAUAAACUCUGUAAGUCUGAAAUAAACUGCAGGUUGUUGCCUUUUGUCGGUUAGAGAUCAUCCCUCACCUACCGA
This is a long non-coding RNA of Salarias fasciatus (jewelled blenny), 920 nucleotides long. RefSeq lists it as uncharacterized. The record is from RefSeq and is a predicted model, not a curated record. NCBI's taxonomy places the organism in Eukaryota, Metazoa, Chordata, Actinopteri, Blenniiformes, Blenniidae. The transcript has 2 exons.